GACGAACGCUGGCGGCGUGCUUAACACAUGCAAGUCGAACGGAAAGGCCCUGCUUUUGUGGGGUGCUCGAGUGGCGAACGGGUGAGUAACACGUGAGUAACCUGCCCUUGACUUUGGGAUAACUUCAGGAAACUGGGGCUAAUACCGGAUAGGAUCUCCUGCUGCAUGGUGGGGGUUGGAAAGUUUCGGCGGUUGGGGAUGGACUCGCGGCUUAUCAGCUGGUUGGUGGGGUAGUGGCGUACCAAGGCUUUGACGGGUAGCCGGCCUGAGAGGGUGACCGGCCACAUUGGGACUGAGAUACGGCGCAGACUCCUACGGGAGGCAGCAGUGGGGAAUAUUGCACAAUGGGCGGAAGCCUGAUGCAGCAACGCCGCGUGCGUGAUGACGUCCUUCGGGUUGUAAACCGCUUUCGCCUGUGACGAAGCGUGAGUGACGGUAAUUGGUAAAGAAGCACCGGCUAACUACGUG
Molecule: ribosomal RNA, 468 nt
Filed under: uncultured bacterium
Lineage: Bacteria
Description: partial 16S ribosomal RNA
Rfam family: Bacterial small subunit ribosomal RNA
Source: RNAcentral